RNAcentral lists this ribosomal RNA (482 nucleotides) under uncultured bacterium. RNAcentral's name for it is "partial 16S ribosomal RNA". It matches the Rfam family "Bacterial small subunit ribosomal RNA", at positions 30 to 507 of the family's 1533-position model. The record is from RNAcentral.
AUUGAACGCUGGCGGCAUGCUUUACACAUGCAAGUCGAACGGUAACAGGCCGCAAGGUGCUGACGAGUGGCGAACGGGUGAGUAAUGCAUCGGAGCGUGCCCAGUCGUGGGGGAUAACUACUCGAAAGAGUAGCUAAUACCGCAUACGAUCUAUGGAUGAAAGCGGGGGACCGUAAGGCCUCGCGCGAUUGGAGCGGCCGAUGUCAGAUUAGGUAGUUGGUGGGGUAAAGGCUCACCAAGCCAACGAUCUGUAGCUGGUCUGAGAGGACGACCAGCCACACUGGGACUGAGACACGGCCCAGACGCCGACGGGAGGCAGCAGUGGGGAAUUUUGGACAAUGGGCGCAAGCCUGAUCCAGCAAUGCCGCGUGCAGGAAGAAGGCCUUCGGGUUGUAAACUGCUUUUGUACGGAACGAAACGGCUCUGGUUAAUACCCGGGGCUAAUGACGGUACCGUAAGAAUAAGCACCGGCUAACUACGUG